Molecule: ribosomal RNA, 362 nt
Filed under: uncultured Anoxybacillus sp.
Lineage: Bacteria; Bacillati; Bacillota; Bacilli; Caryophanales; Anoxybacillaceae
Description: bacterial SSU rRNA
Rfam family: Bacterial small subunit ribosomal RNA
Source: RNAcentral
GGGGGACGAGGGUGACGAGGUGGUGCAUGGUUGUCGUCAGCUCGUGUCGUGAGAUGUUGGGUUAAGUCCCGCAACGAGCGCAACCCUCGACCUUAGUUGCCAGCAUUCAGUUGGGCACUCUAAGGUGACUGCCGGCUAAAAGUCGGAGGAAGGUGGGGAUGACGUCAAAUCAUCAUGCCCCUUAUGACCUGGGCUACACACGUGCUACAAUGGGCGGUACAAAGGGUCGCGAACCCGCGAGGGGGAGCCAAUCCCAAAAAGCCGCUCUCAGUUCGGAUUGCAGGCUGCAACUCGCCUGCAUGAAGCCGGAAUCGCUAGUAAUCGCGGAUCAGCAUGCCGCGGUGAAUACGUUCCCGGGCCUU